AACGAACGCUGGCGGCAUGCCUAAUACAUGCAAGUCGAACGAACACUUCGGUGUUAGUGGCGCACGGGUGCGUAACGCGUGAGAAUCUGCCCUUGGGUUCGGAAUAACAGUUGGAAACGACUGCUAAUACCGGAUGAUGACGUAAGUCCAAAGAUUUAUCGCCCAAGAAUCAGCCCGCGGCAGAUUAGCUAGUUGGUGGG
This 200-nucleotide ribosomal RNA is filed under the name uncultured bacterium. RNAcentral describes it as "partial 16S ribosomal RNA". It matches the Rfam family "Bacterial small subunit ribosomal RNA", at positions 29 to 256 of the family's 1533-position model. The record is from RNAcentral.